UACGGGGGGGGUAAGCGUUGUUCGGAAUUACUGGGCGUAAAGGGCUCGUAGGCGGCCAACUAAGUCAUACGUGAAAUCCCUCAGCUUAACUGGGGAACUGCGUGUGAUACUGGAUGGCUUGAAUUCGGGAGAGGGAUGCAGAAUUCCAGGUGUAGCGGUGAAAUGCGUAGAUAUCAGGAGGAACACCGGUGGCGAAGGCGGAUCUCUGGGCCAUUACUGACGCUGAGGAGCGAAAGCGUGGGGAGCGAACAGG
RNAcentral lists this ribosomal RNA (253 nucleotides) under uncultured bacterium. Its description in RNAcentral is "partial 16S ribosomal RNA". It matches the Rfam family "Bacterial small subunit ribosomal RNA", at positions 524 to 776 of the family's 1533-position model. The record is from RNAcentral.